ACAUAUAUAUAUAUUCAGUACAUUUUGGGAGGAUCACUUGAGCCCAGGAGUUUGAAACCAGCCUGGACAACACAGGGAUACCCCAUCUCUUAAAAAUAAAGAGAAAAAAAUUAAAGCUAUUCCAAAAAUGAGGACACCCUCCCAGCAUCCGAGGCCCAACCCCAUGUGCCACGCUGGUCGCCUCUGCCAUCUUUCACCUCCGGGCGCUCCUAGAGCUGUCCCUGGGCUGAUGGCUUCUGAGGGGGGCUGUGGUUGGGUCCUGCUCACCUGGACCGCCGCCUUGGCCGCUCUUGGUGAAGGGCCCCUUGCCCAGCCCGUCGUCAUCCUCCUGGGUUUCCAUGUGACAGGUCCACCGUCCUGUGGGGCGGUGUCUCACAUUUGCCUUGCUGUUAAAAAAUGGGGGACACUAUCCCUGGGCCUCCGAUCACCGGCCCUGCCCUUGGGCAGGGAUGGUUCUCAGCAGCUCCUUGCUCUGGGGGCCCAGCUCCUUGUCCAAGAGGCCUUUGGAGAACUGGGGUCAGAGCUGUGGGGAGGGACAGCCCUCCUGUGCAGGCUGCCUCCCAGCUCUCCACAUGGCAGUCUUGGCACUGCCCUGGCGCCUCUGCUCACUGGCACAGGCGGAUCUGGGGUUCGAGGUCUCCUCCUACUUCACCUUGACUUUCUUGUACGUAUGGGGUCAACGCCUCCUCUCUGAAGCCCACGGGUCCUCUCCCAGCCCCAGGCUGCACCCAGUGCAGAGCCUUUGCCUCCUGGCUGGAGAGGCUCUUCUGCAGGCUGAUUCCAGCAGAACCUGAUGGUGGGACCAGCACCAGACCACGCCUUCGCCUCCCAGAGGCCUCCUGGCCCUCCUGUCACGGCCUCUGAGACCUAUACCCUUCGGCCCCAUCUCCUGACCUGCAGGCCGCAGGACCAGCUGCCCACGGCCCACACACUUCCUGGGCAUUUCUUUAGAGCUUUAAAAUGGUACCUGGAGACCACCAGGCGCAGUGAUCAGAUCCGGCGGUGUGGUACCUCCCAGUACUGACCACUUCUUGGUCUCAGACUGAGGUGCGGUGCGGCAGGCAGGGGAUGUGGCCCAGGAGGGAGGCAGGUGGCCUGGGAGGCUCCCGGACCCUCAGUGAGCCUGUGUCUCUGGGCGCUUCAGCUCUGUGCCCUGCUCCUUUCUUCCAGAACAUUCCCCACUGGGGCCAGAGAAUUGUGUUUGCACCAGGAAUGCAUCCUAGCGUGUGUACGAUCACGCCUGGGUGUCCUGUUCUCAUAAGCAAGCGGUUUUAACCAGCAGCAUAAUUUAUACUCAUAGACAGGACUGGGGGAAGGGCCAUUCCCGAGGCUGGAGUGCAGUGCCUUGGAAAGCAUCCCCAAAACAGUAGACCUUGUAUUUUUAGUGUCCCUUGCAACCAUCCUUUGACUUAGAGCAAGAAUUUCCGCUGCUGCUACCCCCGAGAUGGGCUUCACCAGAUGUUAAUAACGUGCUUAUUUUCGCUAAGUGCUAUUUUGGCACCAGUGUUAGUUGCAAUUUAUAUUCUGCAGCAUUUGAUGCUGGGAAAAGAACCCACCCUAAUGGUCCCCAAUUGGCAGAGCUCGGCUGUUAAGCGGCAGACCAUAUGCUGCCUGACGGAGGAGCGUGGUCAGCACUUGUCGCCGUGAUCGCGUGCGUGUGCCUGCGUGUGUGUGCCUGCAUGCACGUGUGCAUGCGGGUACCUGUGCCCUGUGUGUGCACGUGUGCCUGCGUGCAUGUGCCUGUGUGCACGUGUGCCUGCGUGUACGUGUGCCUGUGUGUGUGUGCCUGUGUAAACCUGUGCCAUGUGUGUGCAUGCGUGUGUGAGUCACGUCUUCCCUGUGUGAGUGUGAGGGAGAGACUGAGGGCUUGGAGGGAGGGUGGAGGGGAAAAGGUAUGUAUCCCUUUGUUCUUUAAAAGGGAGCGUUCCUACUUCUCUGGCUGCCCUGUCCUGCCUGUGCCCCCAGCUCACCCCAGACCUAGCUGCUAUUUAUUCUCCUGACUUCCUCCUGGCCCCGCAGCUCCAGGGCCCUGUGGCCUGUGACCCUGCAGCCCCUUGUCCCGCAGCCUCCGCCCCGCCGCCUGCUCCAUGUCACCAGGCAACACUGGGCCCCACCAGGCUUCUGAAGGUGGCCCAGGGCAGGCACUUGAGCCUGAGGACCCAGAGCAAAGGUGCCUUUCUGGGCCUUGGGUGCUCCUCUCUGCUGUGUGAGGCUUUUCUCGUUUUCAAGGGCCCGUCCAGCCCAGAGGAGCUGGGUGAGGGCUGCUUCCUUCUGCAGCAGAGGAGGCGGGCUCCAUCCCUGCCAUCUGCUGCCCCCAGAUGCUCUGCCAGGACACAGGCCUGAGAGGUUUCUUCUCCAAGAGGCCGUCCCGGGACCUGUGUGUGCACAGGGUGGGAAGACACUCGCUGCUUCGACCCAGGACUGCAGCCAGGAUGGGCUGAACUCCUGUGGCGCUAAAAACACAAAAGGCGUGCCUGCCAGCUCAGCAGCGCCCUCCCUCAGCCACUCCCUGUACCCGGACCCAGAGCCACAGGCCUUUGGGCUCAAGGGACUGGGGCUGGGCUCAGGCUUGGGCCUGGGGGGCUCAUGGAGGGGCCAGGCCUAGAGUAGUAGGGCUGCGACAGCUGAGGGCUGGGCUCCUGCCAGCCGAUGAAGCUCCAGACCAGUGUCCCGGCCUUGGAGGUGUCAGCAAUGCUCCUGCAGGGAUGGAGGGUGCUGGAGGCCUGGAUGCGGAGACCCUGAACCCCCAGCAGGCAGUGCUGUGGCAGCCUCCCACCUCCUCUUCCCCUGUUAUCUGCUCCUUUUAGGAUCUGAAAAUUACAGAUUUUUUUUUUUUUUUUUUUGGAGAAGGAGUCUUGCUUUGUCCUCUAGGCUGGAGUGCAGUGGCACGAUCUCAGCUCACUCACUACAACCUCUGCCUCACAGGUUCAAGCGACUCUCCCACCUCAGCCUCCCGAGUAGC
RNA transcript from Rhinopithecus roxellana (golden snub-nosed monkey), 2962 nucleotides. RefSeq lists it as uncharacterized. The transcript has a single exon. NCBI's taxonomy places the organism in Eukaryota, Metazoa, Chordata, Mammalia, Primates, Cercopithecidae. The record is from RefSeq and is a predicted model, not a curated record.